RNAcentral lists this ribosomal RNA (404 nucleotides) under Azadinium dalianense. RNAcentral's name for it is "partial small subunit ribosomal RNA". It matches the Rfam family "Eukaryotic small subunit ribosomal RNA", at positions 30 to 432 of the family's 1831-position model. Lineage: Eukaryota; Dinophyceae; Gonyaulacales; Amphidomataceae. The record is from RNAcentral.
GCUUGUCUCAAAGAUUAAGCCAUGCAUGUCUAAGUAUAAACAAAUCUAUACUGUGAAACUGCGAAUGGCUCAUUAUAUCAGUUAUAGUUUAUUUGAUGGUUCUUGCUACUUGGAUAACCGUAGUAAUUCUAGAGCUAAUACAUGCACCCAUGCCCGACUUUGUGGAAGGGUUGUGUUUAUUAGUUACAGAACCAACCCAGGCUCUGCCUGGUCUUGUGGUGAUUCAUAAUAACCGAACGAAUCGUAUGGCAUCAGCUGGCGAUGAAUCAUUCAAGUUUCUGACCUAUCAGCUUCCGACGGUAGGGUAUUGGCCUACCGUGGCAAUGACGGGUAACGGAGAAUUAGGGUUCGAUUCCGGAGAGGGAGCCUUAAAAACGGCUACCACAUCCAAGGAAGGCAGCAGG